Molecule: long non-coding RNA, 655 nt
Organism: Centruroides sculpturatus (bark scorpion)
Lineage: Eukaryota; Metazoa; Arthropoda; Arachnida; Scorpiones; Buthidae
Exons: 3
Source: RefSeq, a predicted model, not a curated record
UUAUGUUUUAUGUAAUAAUACAAAAAUUAUAUUUUUAUAUAGGAUUCCGAUGCCAGUGACAGUCAGAGAGAAGCCCAGAAAAGAGGAAAAAGAAAAGAUUCUGCUGACUGGCAAGGCAGUGAAGACACUGAUUCUGAUAGUGAUGAUGAUAACAGUGAACCGUUAACUCGGUCCAGGUCUAUAAUUCCAAAUCGCACAACUUCCCGUAGACCUGUUGGCUCGUCAUUAAAAAAUUUAAGAACAAGUAAAAACUUAAACAGGUUAUCUAGGUCAUUUCAAAAUAAUCGAUCAAAUAGAAAAAAGAGAAAAAUUUCAUCAUCUAUGGAUGAAGAUUCUGAUAGUGACACAGAUGCAAAGAGAAAUUUGAGGCAGACAAAAAAGAAAAUUAGUUAUAAAGAAGAAAGCAUGGACGAAACAGAUUCUGAUGAUUUAAUUGAAGUUGAUUAUGGUGAUGCCUCUACAGAAGCAGACAAUUCAGAAACAAUUGAACGAGUUCUUGAUCAUAGAAUUGGAAAAAAAGGAGGUGAGAUAAAUUGAAUGUAAAAGCAAAGACUGAAUUAAUGGAUAAGUUUAAAGGUUUAUGUAAAAUAAUUUAAAUACAUGUAUUCUUUUAUAAUCAACAUUAAAAAUCAGAUUUCUUAUAUGAUGAUAAUUA